This 450-nucleotide ribosomal RNA is filed under the name uncultured organism. RNAcentral describes it as "partial 16S ribosomal RNA". It matches the Rfam family "Bacterial small subunit ribosomal RNA", at positions 335 to 801 of the family's 1533-position model. The record is from RNAcentral.
ACUCCUACGGGAGGCAGCAGUGGGGAAUAUUGGACACUGGGCGAAAGCCUGAUCCAGCAAUGCCGCGUGAGUGAUGAAGGCCUUAGGGUUGUAAAGCUCUUUUACCCGGGAUGAUAAUGACAGUACCGGGAGAAUAAGCCCCGGCUAACUCCGUGCCAGCAGCCGCGGUAAUACGGAGGGGGCUAGCGUUGUUCGGAAUUACUGGGCGUAAAGCGCGCGUAGGCGGCUUUGUAAGUUAGAGGUGAAAGCCCGGAGCUCAACUUCGGAAUUGCCUUUAAGACUGCAUCGCUAGAAUCGUGGAGAGGUGAGUGGAAUUCCGAGUGUAGAGGUGAAAUUCGUAGAUAUUCGGAAGAACACCAGUGGCGAAGGCGACUCACUGGACACGUAUUGACGCUGAGGUGCGAAAGCGUGGGGAGCAAACAGGAUUAGAAACCCUAGUAGUCCCAUGAU